GUACAAGUUUCCUUUGACUUAAACAAUUCGCAGCUUAAGUACAUUGAUGAGGAUAAUGAAGAG
This 63-nucleotide long non-coding RNA is filed under the name Callorhinchus milii (elephant shark). RNAcentral's name for it is "Neighbour of BRCA1 2 converved region (ENSCMIG00000002388.1)". It matches the Rfam family "Neighbour of BRCA1 gene 2 converved region". The record is from RNAcentral. Lineage: Eukaryota; Metazoa; Chordata; Chondrichthyes; Chimaeriformes; Callorhinchidae.